UACGAAGGGUGCAAGCGUUAAUCGGAAUUACUGGGCGUAAAGCGUGCGUAGGCGGUUUGUUAAGUCUGCUGUGAAAUCCCCGGGCUCAACCGUGGAAUGGCAGUGGAUACUGGCAAGCUAGAGUGUGUCAGAGGAUGGUGGAAUUCCCGGUGUAGCGGUGAAAUGCGUAGAGAUCGGGAGGAACAUCAGUGGCGAAGGCGGCCAUCUGGGACAACACUGACGCUGAGGCACGAAAGCGUGGGGAGCAAACAGGG
Molecule: ribosomal RNA, 254 nt
Filed under: uncultured bacterium
Lineage: Bacteria
Description: partial 16S ribosomal RNA
Rfam family: Bacterial small subunit ribosomal RNA
Source: RNAcentral